This is a long non-coding RNA of Salvelinus fontinalis (brook trout), 586 nucleotides long. RefSeq lists it as uncharacterized. The record is from RefSeq and is a predicted model, not a curated record. Lineage: Eukaryota; Metazoa; Chordata; Actinopteri; Salmoniformes; Salmonidae. The transcript has 2 exons.
CUAGAAAGGUUGCACAGCCUACUUCAUCCGGAGAGACUGGCAGGGACCUCACAAACUCAGACAUGACAUGAGGAAAAACAACUCUGCUGAAACGGACACACGUGACGGACCGAGUUGCCUUUCCCAAAACGUACAGUAUGUUUUUAUUGUUCAAGUAAACGGGAUUACCGACUGUGUACAAUGAAUACUUCCCAUUCAAAGACUGUGUUUUUUAGAUCCUGUGGUCAACGAAUCAGAAGGACAAGAGAGAGUUGUUUUAUCUUUCAGUGACGUCUCCAAGUUGACUAUCUUACUAUCAAAAAACAUUUUCUUAUUUGCAACAUCAAACUAUUCACUCGUUACAGUUUGGGUUUAGGCUUGAGGUGUCAUUUAUAAGUAAAGGGAGCAACCAUAUAUUUUGAUGUUUCUCUCUCAAUAUUAUAAAAAUAUUACUUUUCAUAUCCUACCACAGGGCGGCGCUCUUGCUCCAUUCUGAAGAAGAAAAAAUACUGACGUACAUCUAGCUACACAAAACUGUUCACUGCAGUCCAGAUAUCCACUUUCUGAUGCCUUACCCUAAUACCAAUAAAUCAUUUCAAGCCUUUCA